Molecule: ribosomal RNA, 2233 nt
Filed under: Salmonella enterica subsp. enterica serovar Schwarzengrund
Lineage: Bacteria; Pseudomonadati; Pseudomonadota; Gammaproteobacteria; Enterobacterales; Enterobacteriaceae
Description: partial 23S ribosomal RNA
Rfam family: Bacterial large subunit ribosomal RNA
Source: RNAcentral
GUGACUGCGUACCUUUUGUAUAAUGGGUCAGCGACUUAUAUUCUGUAGCAAGGUUAACCGAAUAGGGGAGCCGGAGGGAAACCGAGUCUUAACCGGGCGUUAAGUUGCAGGGUAUAGACCCGAAACCCGGUGAUCUAGCCAUGGGCAGGUUGAAGGUUGGGUAACACUAACUGGAGGACCGAACCGACUAAUGUUGAAAAAUUAGCGGAUGACCUGUGGCUGGGGGUGAAAGGCCAAUCAAACCGGGAGAUAGCUGGUUCUCCCCGAAAGCUAUUUAGGUAGCGCCUCGUGAAUUCAUCUCCGGGGGUAGAGCACUGUUUCGGCUAGGGGGCCAUCCCGGCUUACCAACCCGAUGCAAACUGCGAAUACCGGAGAAUGUUAUCACGGGAGACACACGGCGGGUGCUAACGUCCGUCGUGAAGAGGGAAACAACCCAGACCGCCAGCUAAGGUCCCAAAGUCAUGGUUAAGUGGGAAACGAUGUGGGAAGGCCCAGACAGCCAGGAUGUUGGCUUAGAAGCAGCCAUCAUUUAAAGAAAGCGUAAUAGCUCACUGGUCGAGUCGGCCUGCGCGGAAGAUGUAACGGGGCUAAACCAUGCACCGAAGCUGCGGCAGCGACGCUGAUGCGUUGUUGGGUAGGGGAGCGUUCUGUAAGCCUGCGAAGGUGGCCUGUGAGGGUUGCUGGAGGUAUCAGAAGUGCGAAUGCUGACAUAAGUAACGAUAAAGCGGGUGAAAAGCCCGCUCGCCGGAAGACCAAGGGUUCCUGUCCAACGUUAAUCGGGGCAGGGUGAGUCGACCCCUAAGGCGAGGCCGAAAGGCGUAGUCGAUGGGAAACGGGUUAAUAUUCCCGUACUUGGUGUUACUGCGAAGGGGGGACGGAGAAGGCUAUGUUGGCCGGGCGACGGUUGUCCCGGUUUAAGCGUGUAGGUGUGUGUUCCAGGUAAAUCCGGUUCACUUUAACACUGAGGCGUGAUGACGAGGCACUACGGUGCUGAAGCAACAAAUGCCCUGCUUCCAGGAAAAGCCUCUAAGCAUCAGGUAACAUCAAAUCGUACCCCAAACCGACACAGGUGGUCAGGUAGAGAAUACCAAGGCGCUUGAGAGAACUCGGGUGAAGGAACUAGGCAAAAUGGUGCCGUAACUUCGGGAGAAGGCACGCUGACACGUAGGUGAAGUGAUUUACUCAUGGAGCUGAAGUCAGUCGAAGAUACCAGCUGGCUGCAACUGUUUAUUAAAAACACAGCACUGUGCAAACACGAAAGUGGACGUAUACGGUGUGACGCCUGCCCGGUGCCGGAAGGUUAAUUGAUGGGGUCAGCGCAAGCGAAGCUCCUGAUCGAAGCCCCGGUAAACGGCGGCCGUAACUAUAACGGUCCUAAGGUAGCGAAAUUCCUUGUCGGGUAAGUUCCGACCUGCACGAAUGGCGUAAUGAUGGCCAGGCUGUCUCCACCCGAGACUCAGUGAAAUUGAACUCGCUGUGAAGAUGCAGUGUACCCGCGGCAAGACGGAAAGACCCCGUGAACCUUUACUAUAGCUUGACACUGAACAUUGAGCCUUGAUGUGUAGGAUAGGUGGGAGGCUUUGAAGUGUGGACGCCAGUCUGCAUGGAGCCGGCCUUGAAAUACCACCCUUUAAUGUUUGAUGUUCUAACGUGGACCCGUGAUCCGGGUUGCGGACAGUGUCUGGUGGGUAGUUUGACUGGGGCGGUCUCCUCCUAAAGAGUAACGGAGGAGCACGAAGGUUGGCUAAUCCUGGUCGGACAUCAGGAGGUUAGUGCAAUGGCAUAAGCCAGCUUGACUGCGAGCGUGACGGCGCGAGCAGGUGCGAAAGCAGGUCAUAGUGAUCCGGUGGUUCUGAAUGGAAGGGCCAUCGCUCAACGGAUAAAAGGUACUCCGGGGAUAACAGGCUGAUACCGCCCAAGAGUUCAUAUCGACGGCGGUGUUUGGCACCUCGAUGUCGGCUCAUCACAUCCUGGGGCUGAAGUAGGUCCCAAGGGUAUGGCUGUUCGCCAUUUAAAGUGGUACGCGAGCUGGGUUUAGAACGUCGUGAGACAGUUCGGUCCCUAUCUGCCGUGGGCGCUGGAGAACUGAGGGGGGCUGCUCCUAGUACGAGAGGACCGGAGUGGACGCAUCACUGGUGUUCGGGUUGUCAUGCCAAUGGCACUGCCCGGUAGCUAAAUGCGGAAGAGAUAAGUGCUGAAAGCAUCUAAGCACGAAACUUGCCCCGAGAUGAGU